RNAcentral lists this small RNA (27 nucleotides) under Bombyx mori (domestic silkworm). RNAcentral's name for it is "ovarian small RNA-10063". Lineage: Eukaryota; Metazoa; Arthropoda; Insecta; Lepidoptera; Bombycidae. The record is from RNAcentral.
AAAGAUGUGCUAAAAACGAUGAUGUCA